UACGGAGGAUUCGAGCGUUAUCCGGAUUUAUUGGGUUUAAAGGGUGCGUAGGCGGCCGAGUAAGUCAGCGGUGAAAUUUUGCAGCUUAACUGUAACAGUGCCGUUGAUACUGCAUGGCUAGGAUUUGGUUGCUGUGGGUGGAAUGUGUGGUGUAGCGGUGAAAUGCUUAGAUAUCACACAGAAUAUCAAUUGCGAAGGCAGCUCACAAAGCCAAGAUUGACGCUGAGGCACGAAAGUGUGGGGAUCAAACA
This 251-nucleotide ribosomal RNA is filed under the name uncultured prokaryote. Its description in RNAcentral is "partial 16S ribosomal RNA". It matches the Rfam family "Bacterial small subunit ribosomal RNA", at positions 524 to 774 of the family's 1533-position model. The record is from RNAcentral.